Molecule: unclassified non-coding RNA, 498 nt
Filed under: Hevea brasiliensis (rubber tree)
Lineage: Eukaryota; Viridiplantae; Streptophyta; Magnoliopsida; Malpighiales; Euphorbiaceae
Source: RNAcentral
UUUUCAUGGAGGAUACUUCUAAGCCAUAACCACUCUGCCGCUGUUGAUAGACAUGAAACUCUAAAGGCAAUGAAGUCAAAUUCUGCAGUAUAUAAGGAGGAGAACUCCCGGUAUCCAGAUUUUCACUUCUCUGAGAAUUUAAGAAUGAAGGGAUUUCAGAAUGAGCAGCCAUCUGCGCCAGAUCCCCUGCAUUUUUUAUCAUCUCGAUUGUCCUAGAAACAACCUCAAUAAGGGACUCGGUAAGAUUCAAGUUAAGUUGAGUUGUCGACUUGAUAUGAAGAUUUCUAGUCACAUCACUACUCAGAAGGGAACUGUCAUCAUGCCUUUUUAUACUUAGCUGGAUUUCCCAGGGCUCUAGGAAAGGCUCCCACGAGACCAUGUCAAUGUUAUUAUAGUUCACUUCGACUUCACACUUCACCAAACCCUCCAUUUCAUUUCCAGCUAUAUUUGAGUGAAGAAGCAAGUUUGUCAUAAGUAACUCCAGCAAAGGUCCACUUG